AUUGAACGCUGGCGGCAUGCUUUACACAUGCAAGUCGAACGGCAGCGCGGGGCAACCUGGCGGCGAGUGGCGAACGGGUGAGUAAUACAUCGGAACGUACCCAGAAGUGGGGGAUAACGUAGCGAAAGUUACGCUAAUACCGCAUACGACCUAAGGGUGAAAGUGGGGGACCUUCGGGCCUCAUGCUUUUGGAGCGGCCGAUGUCUGAUUAGCUAGUUGGUGAGGUAAAGGCUCACCAAGGCGACGAUCAGUAGCUGGUCUGAGAGGACGACCAGCCACACUGGGACUGAGACACGGCCCAGACUCCUACGGGAGGCAGCAGUGGGGAAUUUUGGACAAUGGGGGCGAACCCUGAUCCAGCAAUGCCGCGUGAGUGAAGAAGGCCUCGG
Molecule: ribosomal RNA, 389 nt
Filed under: uncultured bacterium
Lineage: Bacteria
Description: bacterial SSU rRNA
Rfam family: Bacterial small subunit ribosomal RNA
Source: RNAcentral